Molecule: unclassified non-coding RNA, 579 nt
Filed under: Hevea brasiliensis (rubber tree)
Lineage: Eukaryota; Viridiplantae; Streptophyta; Magnoliopsida; Malpighiales; Euphorbiaceae
Source: RNAcentral
CGUUGAAUAUUUGAUUGGUUAAAAAAAUUAAACAAAUAGUACAGAAAAUAAAAUAUUAGAGAUCAAAUGACUGAACUUAAAAACUGAAAAAGAAAAAAGAAAAUCUAUCUCAAGGACAACUCUCUUUUCUUUCUAUCCUUGCACUUUUUAAGCUUCCUCAGCACUGAAUAGGAAAAGACUCAGUCACAAACUAUUAGCAUUUCUACUUAUCUUCUUAAAAGACUCAAAUAUCUCAAUAGGAAACAACUCAAUCUAGAUUUUCUAAUAUCCCCCAUUAUAAUUUAUAAGUCAGUGGAGGGGAGGAGGUGGCAGUGAGUGAAUCAGAAAGGUGGGCCAUGUGGAGUGGGAUUUGGGGUGGCUGAGUUUGGAUUCUUUGCUGAGUUUGAGGAAGGUUUAGAUGACGGUCUCGUACCAGGUUGCAAUGCAAUUUGUAAAAUUUCCUCUGCUCCAAAUCCAUGGAGAUUAUUGAGGAUAAGGCAUUUGUGGCAUUAUUUUGUUUGUUCUAUUGCUGGUUAUGUAUUGAGUUUUUAGGGCUUUAUAGGUUGGGAAUUGGGAUAGAGAUGGAUGGGUUGAGGUUGG